ACGGACCGUCCAAACGUUAUUCGGAAUCACUGGGCUUAAAGGGUGCGUAGGCGGCCCGGCAAGUUGGGUGUGAAAGCCCUCGGCUCAACCGAGGAAUUGCGCCCAAAACUACCGGGCUAGAGGAAGACAUAGGUGAGCGGAACUUAGGGUGGUGCGGGUAAAUGCGUUGAGAUCCUAAGGAACACCAGAAGGGAAAGCGGCUCACUGGGUCUUUUCUGGCGGUGAGUGCACGAAAGCGAGGGGAGCGAAGAG
This 252-nucleotide ribosomal RNA is filed under the name uncultured prokaryote. RNAcentral's name for it is "partial 16S rRNA". It matches the Rfam family "Bacterial small subunit ribosomal RNA", at positions 525 to 775 of the family's 1533-position model. The record is from RNAcentral.